AGACAAAUAAAUAAAUAGUGGGUAACUGGGGUUUAAAGAUUUAUGGGGGCGAAACCUUCCAUUUCAGCUGUGACCCUCCCUGCUAGGAUUGACUUAACCCCUCACCCGCUGGUCUCACCCGAGCCCAUCCCCGGCCAGGACAGGCGCUCAGCUCUGGAACCCAUCAUGGCGAUUCUCCUGUUUACAGAACCUGAAUCCAGCCGCCCAACAGAAACUUCCCAGAUCCCCGGGCAGGUUUCCCUCCCCGCAGCAAUUUUUACUGCUGAGCAGUCGUAAUUGCAGUGUUUACUGGGUCUCCACAGUCAAAUUAGAUCUAUUCUGUCCAGAAAACAGAUAUUUCAAAGACUUGUCAGGACACGAAACACUCUCUACACAGUGAUCCCACGUGUGUUAAAGACAACAAUAUAGGCAACAAAAGCAAACCUAGAAACAUAAACCAACUGAAACAAAAUAUGAAAACUGGUAUAUUUGGAAUUACAUGUGCCAUGGUGCCCCUAUGGCUUAUUUUUAAGUGGUAGGAUGCUGUUUUCUGUUUUAUUUGGGGGGUGGGGAGGGCUAUCUGUCAGUUUAAAUUUUUUUCAGUGAGAUCAGAU
Molecule: long non-coding RNA, 593 nt
Filed under: Bos taurus (domestic cattle)
Lineage: Eukaryota; Metazoa; Chordata; Mammalia; Artiodactyla; Bovidae
Description: long non-coding RNA NONBTAT009049
Source: RNAcentral